This 663-nucleotide ribosomal RNA is filed under the name bacterium 63-L049640-122-012-G08. RNAcentral's name for it is "bacterial SSU rRNA". It matches the Rfam family "Bacterial small subunit ribosomal RNA", at positions 62 to 743 of the family's 1533-position model. The record is from RNAcentral.
UCGACGAUGAAGCCUUUCGGGGUGGAUUAGUGGCGAACGGGUGAGUAACACGUGGGCAAUCUGCCCUUCACUCUGGGACAAGCCCUGGAAACGGGGUCUAAUACCGGAUAAUACUUUCUCUCUCAUGGGGGAAGGUUAAAAGCUCCGGCGGUGAAGGAUGAGCCCGCGGCCUAUCAGCUAGUUGGUGGGGUAAUGGCCUACCAAGGCGACGACGGGUAGCCGGCCUGAGAGGGCGACCGGCCACACUGGGACUGAGACACGGCCCAGACUCCUACGGGAGGCAGCAGUGGGGAAUAUUGCACAAUGGGCGAAAGCCUGAUGCAGCGACGCCGCGUGAGGGAUGACGGCCUUCGGGUUGUAAACCUCUUUCAGCAGGGAAGAAGCGAAAGUGACGGUACCUGCAGAAGAAGCGCCGGCUAACUACGUGCCAGCAGCCGCGGUAAUACGUAGGGCGCAAGCGUUGUCCGGAAUUAUUGGGCGUAAAGAGCUCGUAGGCGGCUUGUUGCGUCGGUUGUGAAAGCCCGGGGCUUAACCCCGGGUCUGCAGUCGAUACGGGCAGGCUAGAGUGUGGUAGGGGAGAUCGGAAUUCCUGGUGUAGCGGUGAAAUGCGCAGAUAUCAGGAGGAACACCGGUGGCGAAAGCGGAUCUCUGGGCCAUUACUGA